Molecule: ribosomal RNA, 253 nt
Filed under: uncultured bacterium
Lineage: Bacteria
Description: partial 16S ribosomal RNA
Rfam family: Bacterial small subunit ribosomal RNA
Source: RNAcentral
UACGUAGGGGGCAAGCGUUAUCCGGAUUUACUGGGUGUAAAGGGAGCGUAGACGGUAUGGCAAGUCUGAAGUGAAAGCCCAGGGCCUAACCCUGGGACUGCUUUGGAAACUGUUAGACUAGAGUGCUGGAGAGGUAAGUGGAAUUCCUAGUGUAGCGGUGAAAUGCGUAGAUAUUAGGAGGAACACCAGUGGCGAAGGCGGCUUACUGGACAGUAACUGACGUUGAGGCUCGAAAGCGUGGGGAGCAAACAGG